UGGGGAAUUUUGGACAAUGGGCGAAAGCCUGAUCCAGCAAUGCCGCGUGUGUGAAGAAGGCCUUCGGGUUGUAAAGCACUUUUGUCCGGAAAGAAAUCCUUGGCUCUAAUACAGUCGGGGGAUGACGGUACCGGAAGAAUAAGCACCGGCUAACUACGUGCCAGCAGCCGCGGUAAUACGUAGGGUGCAAGCGUUAAUCGGAAUUACUGGGCGUAAAGCGUGCGCAGGCGGUUGCUAAGACCGAUGUGAAAUCCCCGGGCUCAACCUGGGAACUGCAUUGGUGACUGGCAGGCUAGAGUAUGGCAGAGGGGGGUAGAAUUCCACGUGUAGCAGUGAAAUGCGUAGAGAUGUGGAGGAAUACCGAUGGCGAAGGCAGCCCCCUGGGCCAAUACUGACGCUCAUGCACGAAAGCGUGGGGAGCAAACAGGAUUAGAUACCCUGGUAGUCCACGCCCUAAACGAUGUCAACUAGUUGUUGGGGAUUCAUUUCCUUAGUAACGUAGCUAACGCGUGAAGUUGACCGCCUGGGGAGUACGGUCGCAAGAUUAAAACUCAAAUGGAAUUGACGGGGUCAUA
Molecule: ribosomal RNA, 575 nt
Filed under: uncultured bacterium
Lineage: Bacteria
Description: partial 16S ribosomal RNA
Rfam family: Bacterial small subunit ribosomal RNA
Source: RNAcentral